UCUUUUCUGUUUCUGUUGGCAGUACAGGGGGGAGGAGGGGUUUCAAGUGGUUUUCUGUGACAAGGAUGCUGAGUUUGUCUCCAACUGUGCCUUUCCUCCAUCAGUGCAUGGAUCUCAGCCCUCCGCCCUCAGACCCACAUGCCUAAGUCUCCCUGCUUUCUUCCCUCAGACCCAGGGUUCCUCCCAAAUCUCUGUGCAAGCUUCAACUCUCCCUCCUCUGUUGCUGAGGCGGGAGGCCGGGCUCUGGAGCAGGCACUCUUGGGCACUGUCUUCAGCCAGGAAGGGUAUUUAUUUGCAGACUCUGGCUUCUGAGACCUCCCUGGAUUCAGCCCCCUGGACUGUGUGCUGGCUACCAUCUACCUGUGCAGUGGAGGAGACCUCUGCCCGGGGCUUCCGCCAGCUGCUGGAGCUGAACCUGCUGGAGACAUACACCUUGGCCAAGGUGAGACAGGCCCGGUUUCAAAUGGCAUGUGUCCCUGAUUUCAUCAAGAGCACACGGCCCUGUGCCCCUUGGCUUCCUGUCUUUAUUCUUUUAUAUGCAAUCUUUUUUUUUUUUCUUUUUCUAAAGACAGGUUUUCUCUGUGUAGCCUUGGCUGUUCUGGACUCCUUUGUAGUCUAAGCUGGCCCUGAACUCACAGAGAUCCACCUGGAAUUACAGUGGUUCUCAACCGGUGGGUUGUGACCUCUUUGGAGUUGAAUGACCCUUUCACAGGGGUAGCCUAAGACCAUCAGAAAACACAGAUAUUAAUAUUAUGAUUCAUAAGAAUAACAAACUUACAGUUUUGAGGUAGCAAUGAGAAUAAUUUUAUGGUUGGAGUUGACCACACCAUGAGGAACUGUGUUAGAGGUCACAACAUUAGGAAGGUUGAGAACCAGGAUCUAGAAGGACCACGUUCCACAUAGAAGGAAAAAAAAAAAAAAAAGACACGUAUCUACAUCCACCUGGAAAACUGCAGCGCCUCAAAAAUUUCCAGAGCCUUCCAGGCCUGCUUGGAGGGAGAGACAAGGGUGAUAAGAACCCCGAGAUGUGGCUGGUAGAAUGUUUGCCCAGCCACAUGUAGCUCUAGCUUGGGUCCCCAGCACCACAGAAAACAGGCAUGAUGGUGCAACCUGUGACCUCAGCACACAGGAGGCAGAGGCAG
Long non-coding RNA from Meriones unguiculatus (Mongolian gerbil), 1142 nucleotides. RefSeq lists it as uncharacterized. Lineage: Eukaryota; Metazoa; Chordata; Mammalia; Rodentia; Muridae. The transcript is spliced from 3 exons. The record is from RefSeq and is a predicted model, not a curated record.